Molecule: long non-coding RNA, 975 nt
Organism: Musa acuminata AAA Group (dessert banana)
Lineage: Eukaryota; Viridiplantae; Streptophyta; Magnoliopsida; Zingiberales; Musaceae
Exons: 3
Source: RefSeq, a predicted model, not a curated record
GUCGGCGCAAGGUUGACUUGUUAGAGCCGUCAACGCCACCGUAGCGAGCGCCGGUCCCUGUUCCGGUGGACCGCAGAAGAAUCCAGUUGCUCAGAUUCGUGAUCAUUCUAAGUAGACAACUAGUCAACGUAAAGAUCUAAAUCGUGACGAAUGAUAAUGGCCGGCAGGCAUCCGUAAAGACUAAACUCAUCUCGCGCGGUUGGUCAUCACGCGGCGCAUAGUCGAUACGCGUGGAUCAAGUUACAACACGAAUCUUAAAACAUGACAGUCCACGCCCCUCUCGGUAUCACCCGGCCGAUGCCACGCGAUCCAACGUCGCUCGAUUCAUUUCCUCCUCGAGUCUUCCCAAUCUAAUCUUUUUAUUUUACGAUUGUUCAUUUACCAAGAACCCUAAUUAUUCCUCGAUCCCUUUCUGGGAAUUCGCCCCUUCUCGUUCAACUCCUAUGAUGCGAUCUCUUCUCGCAGCAUUGCGUCGGUCCGUCCCCACUCUCGUCUCCAUGGCGCCACUCAGAACGCGACCGGCCCGAGUGACGAGGAGAUCGCCGUCGCCGUCGACGGAGAUGACUCGCCCACGGCCAAGAAGCCACUUAGGGCUGAGUCGAGGAUUCCCCUGUUCGUGAUCUUCUCGGUCGGCCUGCUGUGCAUCUUCCUCACCAUGCCCGAGGCCGAGCACGAUACAAUCCUAAGGCUAACGCGGCACCUCUACGUCCUCAAAUGUUCAUGAUACCUGGUACCGCAUUCUUGUUAUUACUGGCUGGAUCUCUUUCGGGGUCAUAAAAGCACAUUACGGGUUGCAGCAGACCUGAGUCUAACGUCCGAGCUUGUGGCAAAUUUGGGAGUGGAGAAAGAACAUGGUGGUUCGGUGGGAUGCUCUGCAAAAAGUGUUGGGACGCAUGCGAUAAAAUUAGUAGAGUAAUUAAAUAUUAUGUUGUAUGAGAGUUAUUUCACAGGAUAAUUACGUGGAAUCGUCGGUCA